This 5936-nucleotide long non-coding RNA is filed under the name Marmota monax (woodchuck). Lineage: Eukaryota; Metazoa; Chordata; Mammalia; Rodentia; Sciuridae. The record is from RNAcentral.
UGGCAACUGGUCGUUGAAGUCAUUGGGUAUGUGAGAUAUCUGCCCCGAGAGCUAGAGGAGAGGAGAACUAGGAUAAGAUCCCGGGAAACAAUAGCCAAGGAGGAGGGGAAUCUGGCAAAGAUGGGACACCAGGGUCCAAGGCAAGAAAAGCGUGACAUGAGAUCCAGAGGUCAGAGAGGACUUGCAUGAGUGAAUGGAGAAGCAGAGUCCAGGAAGGGCCAGACCCUGUGGACCAAAAGUGUUUGAGGACGCAGAGGAGGGCUUGGAAAAGCAGCCAGUCAGUGGGAGAGGGAGAACCAGGCAACUUGGGGGCCAGCAGGAGGAAUUUGCUGGCUGGAGGACUCCGGAGCAGGCAGAGGGGUGGUGACUGAUAACUGAAGCCAUGGGAAUAUGUGAGAUAUCUGUCCCACAGAGUUAGUGCCGAGCAAGAAGGGAGGAGAACCUAAGACAGGUUGGGGAGGAGGGGGACCAGGUAUGAGCAAUGCCGAGCUCCUAUCUGGGGCGCCUAGGAGUGUCAGGAAGUCUCAAUUCAAAGGGAGGGAGGCAGAGAGGGGACCUCUAUAUUUCCCAUUUCUUAUCACCAUUCCCUGGAGCUUGUGUAAGCAGGUUUCCAGGGACAGGUUUCAGCUCCAAUGAUACUUUAUUCCUGACCCCACACUAGGUCAGCCCCCAUCUUCUCUUAGGACAUUUGGAUUACUAAACUGAGAUGGCCCCGGCUCCAAAUGGGAGCUUGCAUGUGGGCCAUGUGCUGGAUCAAGAUUCCAGAGACCUCCAUUGGGCCAGUCACUGGGUCUCUAACUGCUGGUGGAGGGGCUGGGGGGGUCCUGGAGGAGAGGGUGAUUGGCCGAGAUGCUCUUGGCGACAGAUGGUAGUUAUUAAUUGUGCAAUAACUUUUGUCUGUCUCUGGGAUUGGUCUGUAAUCCCCAUAAAAGCAGGGACCAUGUCCAGUUUGGUCACUGUCUCUCCCUGGUGUGUGACAGUGUGGGGGGCAUAGUAGGUGUUUGGUAAGUAUUGGCUGAGAGUCGUGUGAAGGGUGGAGGGGCUGAGGGCAUCUUCUUUGUGGAGAGGGCAGUGUCUGGUCCUCCCGGGAAAACAGCAGAGUCACAGUGGGGACUGUCUUGGUCCAGGCAAGGCCUGGAGCACCUUCGUGCCACUCAGCCUUCUCUCUGCAGGGCCUUGCUCCUCCCUUUGUGUCUGGAGGGACAGAAACAUACCCGGGGCCACACAGUGAGGCCUUGGUUUUCUCAUUAGUAAAAUAGGAUGAUAACAACGUUAUUCGCUCCAUAGGUUUCUGUGGGGAUGAAAUGAGGUGUUUAAUUAAUUAAGUAAUUUAUUUGGUACUGGGGAUGAAACCCAGGGGCACUAUACCACUGAGCACAUCCCCAGCCCUUUUAAUUUUUUUGAGACAGGCUCUUGCUAAAUUGCUUAGGGCCUCACUAAAUUGCUGAAGCUGGCCUUGGAUUUGGGAUCAUCCUGCCUCAGCCUCCUGAAUUGCUGGGAUUACAGGUAUGGUGACACCACGGCCAGCUGAAAUGAGGUGUUUAGAGUGAGUGCCGAAUGUUAAACUCAUUCUCCCCAGUUGAGCCAUCUACUCCUUGGUUUUACCUCCUAUAAGUCUUAUUCUCAUCUGUAAUAAGAGAAUAAGAUUGGCCUCAUCCAGGUAUGGUGGUGCAGGCCUGUAAUUCCACUAACUAUGGAAGCCGAGGCAAGAGGAUCACAAUAAACCAUUCCCCGAUUUUUAUCUCUAAUGCAGACCUUUUUUCUGAGGUUCGGGCACGCACUCCACUGCUCAGUCUCUUCACACUCCUGCGUGCUCAGCCCUAGCGAGGGCCUCCCCAGGCUCUCUGUGCCAAGGCCCAGACCUCGGGCAUCCCCAUCACUACUUCCCUGUCCCACGUUCCAGCCCAAGAACACUCCGAGCCUCCUUCCCUUACUCCCUGACCCCUGCUCAUCUCAGGCCCUUCCUGUCCUCCCCCACUCCCCUGGGACCCAUCAGCACUCAUUCCUCACCUCCACAGCUGCUGCCACAGCUGGUCAGUGACGGAAUGCACAGCUGCUAGAAGCCACAUGUGUGGAAUAGGCAGUACACAGCUACCCCUGGGGCUGGUGGGGUCAGGGGUGGGACCAUCUGUGUCUGUUUGUCAGUCUGCAACACAUACACAUGAACACACACACACACACGCAUGCAUACUCCUGAUCCCUUUCUCUCUGUGAUGUGCUGGGUGGUAUUGGCUUGGUUCCUCUUCCCUAGCCCUGGGCUGCAGAGGUUAUGAGGGUCAUGCUUUCCCUAUGGGGGUCCCUGAGAGGGACUGGAAGGCUGGCCCAGAUGCUUGAUACUUACACCCUCCCUGCUGCUGGACAGGCAUAACAAGUCCUACAGAGGCUGCCCAGGGCUAAAGUGACCUACUAGGCAUUCAGAGCCCCCAACUUUCCCAGGCCCUGGGGGAUGGCCUACCACGGAGGAAGCCAGAGGCUCUGGACACAUUCCAGAGCCCCCUUGGCAGCACCCAGGGGUUCCAGAGGAGCCUCAGCCCUGGGGCAGCGCCAGCAGCAUCUGUCCUGGUUCCCACACUCUGGACCGUCUGGAAUCUCACAGAUUUCUCUUCCAUGUGUGCAUGAUGUCAGCAGGACAAGGACACUGGGGGAGAAAAGGAGGGGCUGAGCUACCCAAAGUCAGACGGCUUCUGGGGGUGGGGGCAGGCACUCCACACACAAAGAGAGAGUGGCUCAGCCUCUGGCUCCAGACCUUCCUGGGCCCUGACACUGCCCAGCCCAUUGCCCUCAGAGCUGGUCCUCCAUUUCCUCAUCUGUAGCAAGAGAGUGAGAGUGGCCUGGCCCAGGCAUGGUGGUGCCCCCCUGUAAUCCCAGCAACUCUGGAGGCUGAAGCAGGAGGAUUGCACGUUCAAGGCCAGCUGGAGCAAUUUAGCAAGACCCUGUCUUAAAAUAAAAAAGGACUGGACAUGUAGCUCAGUGAUAGAGUGUCCCUGGUAUUUGGUAUUCAAUACCAAAUACCAAAAAAAAAAAAGUGCCUCUAACUCCCAGAGAAAGUUGGAGGACCCCGAACCUUUUAUACCUGGGUAGAACUUACUCUCCAACCAUUCUCCUGACCUCCACUCAGUCUUGCCACUUCUCAAAAUUUCUCGAAUAUAUAUCACAAGUUCAUCACAGGUUCAUUCUACCAAGUCCCCUGCUGUUGUCAGGGAAACCACGCUUCUACUUUACCGCUUGGAGACUAUUAAGACCUUCAGUAAGAGGUGACCCUGGAAGGAGGUCCAGGAAGGCUGUGUCAGUUGAGCUCUUCUAGGAGAUGGAGGCCUGCUGAGAGCCACGGCCGAGUCUGUAUGGCCCCGAGGCCAGUCAGAGGUGUGAGAGAUGUGCUUGGCAGAAUAAAAGGAAGGGAGCAGGAGGAAGCAGAAGGAGCCCAUGACACCCAUGUAGUUCUGACUCCUGUGGAGGAGAAGGGGGAUGAAGGGGGCUCGGACAGGAAGAGUCUCUGGCUGCCAUGGAGCUCUGAGGACGUCUUGAUCCAGCUGUCUUCUAGAGAAGCCCCAGGUAGGGCUCAAGUAGCCUGGAGUCAGUGUCCCCACUGUGCCCGGUCACAGCUAGGAGCAACCCAGUGACACUUCUUGCAGCAGUGACACUUCUUGCAGCAGGUUCUCCUGAAGGGAGAUACCAGCGUUGUGCUCUCUGGGUGGAGGGUGUGUGCUUUGCAAGUUCACCCAGCAAGCAAGCAACCAGUUCACACCCCUGGGCUAUGGCUGCACCAUGCUCACACUGUGGUGAGCGUUAGAUCCCUUCGGGCUUCCAGGACUUCUAAGAGCGACUUUGCCAGAGGAAUGAAAGACUGAGGAUUCGGAUUGCUGCAUUCUAAAUGUUGGUGCCCCUUCCCCCAUGCCAGUGGUGAAGACUAAUUACCAGUAUGAUGAUAUUAGGAUGUGGGAUCUUUGGGAGCAGAUAUAUCAGUGAUAGAUCAGUGUCCUUAUAAAAGAGACUCUGGACAGUUCCCUUGCCUCUUCCACCACUUGAGGACUCAGCAAAAAGAUGGCCAUGUUUGAGUCAAAAAGAAGGCCCUCACCAGACACUGAAUCUGUUAGAGCCUUGACCUUGGAUCUUCCAGCUUUCAGAACUGUGAGAGGUGAACUUCUGUUGUUUAUAAGACACGCAGCUUAUGGUGUUUUGUUAUAGCAGCCCAAAUGGACCAACACACAGAUGAGGUCAUGUGAGAAUAUGGCACUUCAGACAGAAUAGCACUGAACUGGGAUCAAUAGCCUGGGGUUAAAUUUCUUUUCUGCAUCUAACAUUGUGUGUCCUCAGACAAGGGGCUUUCUUUCUCUAAGACUUGUUUUCUUCUUCUGUAAAAUGUGGACAAGAAAAUUUCACUCAGGUCUCCCACCCAGGCAAAAAAUAAUAGGGCAACAGCAACCAGUCUUUUCAUCCAUAAAGAUGGCUCUACUUCUUAGAGAGGUGCCCACCAAAGACCGUUCCUAAAACUUUUGCCCAGCGUAACUCCAGUGGCAGAAAAUAAUUCGUUCUAUUCCUGAGGUUUGAGGAGAUAUAACUCAAACUAACUUAAUUAGAGUUCCAAAUUUCUUCUGUGGGGUUUAUCUUAAAAAUGUAAAAGAGAGUCAGGAGAGUAUAGCACUUAAGAGACACUCUGGAGUCAGAUGACUUGAAUUGUCUGUCACUUAUUAGCCUUGAAUGAGUGACUUUACCUCUGUGAGCCUCAGAUUCCUCAUCUGUAAGUGGAAAUCAGUUCAGAGGGCUGGGUUUGUUCAUUCAGGGCUAGUAGCAGAGGGUAUCUGGUCACCAGCCACCCUUUGCUCUGCCCUUUCCCUCACCUAGGACAUGGUCCACUGGCUGCAUACCAGCUCUGGUAGUGCUGACCUAUGGGCAUUGUAAAGAUGCCCAGUGAGAUAGAGACAUCAGAACACAGUUUCCUUGAGGUCUCCAAGCUGGUGAUUCUGGGGCUCCUGGAGGGGGGCUUCUCCUGGAUGGGAGGUGGGCGGAAGGAAGUGGGUGAGGAAUAUCAUUUUUCCCCAGCUCUGGUGAUUGGGUGGGUGGAGGUGAGAAAUUGGAGGGACUUCCUGUUGGGAGUAUUGUGGAGGUGCAUUUGAGACUAGUUAAGCCAGGAGUCAGAGGAGGCUAAAAUAACCCUGGAGGACCCUGGUUAUACCAGGUUGAUGGAAGUAAGACAUCUGGUAGCCAGCCUCCAAGAUGGCCCUGAUGGUCUCUACUUCCUGGUAUUUUCACCUUUGUAUGGUCCCUUCCCACACUGUAACAGGGUUGAUCUGUGUGACCAAUAGAAUGUGGUUGAAGUGGUAAUGUGUCACUUCUGAGGCUAGGUCAUGAAUGACCAAGUGGCUUUUUUCUUGUUCCCUCUUGGAUUUCUCACUUCAGGGGAAGCUAACAGAAAUGUCAUGAGAACACGCAGGCAACCCUGUGGGAAGGGACUAAAGCCACCUGCCACAGCCAUAUGAGUGUGCCAUCUUGGAAGCGGAUCCCUCAGCCCCCAUCAAGCCUUCAGAUGGCUGGCUGCAGCUUGACUACAGCAUCAUGAGACACUCUGAGCAAGAAUCACUCAGUCUUCAGGAUCUGGCUCCACAGAGACUCUGAAAUGCAGGAAGAUGCUGAGAUACAGGGAAAAAGAUCAUGUGACAAUAAGUUUGGAAUUGGGGUUACCCCUUUCUCCUCCAUCUUAAUCCUUUCUCUUCUUCUCUUCUCCCUCCUACGCCAUGUCCACCUUUUGUAGUUCCAGAUGGGAACACUGAGUCCAUGUCAGGAGCCCUACUGGGGAAAGCUUGCUUUCUGAGAGGCUCAGGACUGCCAUCCAUUGCAGAUUCUCCCCUCAGGGCGGUCUUCAUGAGAGGGGAGAACCUACAGAGAGACCCCCAUACCAAGGGAUGAAACUGGUCCCAGUCCUGCUCACUACCUAUACC